RNAcentral lists this long non-coding RNA (1129 nucleotides) under Ursus maritimus (polar bear). RNAcentral's name for it is "lncRNA (ENSUMAG00000024682.1)". The record is from RNAcentral. Lineage: Eukaryota; Metazoa; Chordata; Mammalia; Carnivora; Ursidae.
CUUGGAUAUUGGUAAUUUAAACUGUAUUCUGUUCCUUAGGAUUCUCUGAAAUCAGUAUUAAUGGACUGGAGCAAGAAGAGAGGAAAAGAUGACUUCACAUUUAUGAAUACCAAAUAUGAGAACUCAGCUCUUUGCCUUCCAGCAGCCGAAUUCCUCUUUUGGAAAAGAACGUAUUCCGUAGAAGCUCAUGUAGCAGCCAGUCCCUUUGGUCUCUUCCAUCCCAUGGCCAACUCUAAGUCCAAGGAUGGCUGUGAAAGUGAGUAUCCAGCUUCUCCAAACUGCAGAGUGGAGAUUCCAUCAAUGACUAUUUGGUCAGGUAAGUAACCGUGUCUAUUAUAAUCAUUUCAGCAUUUUAUCUUCAUCUCCCUACAACCUCCUUAAUUCCAAUUCACAGGAUAGUUAUAUAGGGUUUUAUUAAAAUAUAGAUGUAGAACCAACAUUAAACUAUUGAAUAACUGAAAUUUACGAAGGUACUGGCUUGUAGGAAACAUUAGCAGGGAAAACCAAUACCAACUGAUUUAAAAAGGAAUACCUCAAAACUUGUCAGAACAAGUUAAGGCUAAAGGUUGGCUGAUAUUAAAAAAACAAAAAACAAAAAACAAAAAAACCUUUUAAUUGUAAAAAAAAAAAAAAUACAACCUUACGAAACAAGAAUCUCAGAUUGUAAGCAAUUAUAAAGAAGAAACUGGAGGUCAUCUAAAAGUAACCCCUGAUAUAUUUGGCAUAAACUCUUUCAAAUUUUUUCUAAAUAUUCUACAUAUAUUCUUCCUUCCUCCACUAUUCUUCCUGUAACCAUGCUAGAUUUUUCUGAAAUCUACUUUCCUCUUCUAAUAUAUCCUUGUCCCCUUUCCAUAUACUUGCUGUGUUAUAUUCCACAUAUGCAGACUCAUGCCAAACUGCCUGGGUGUCACUCCCAACUCGAUUGCUUGGCAGAUGCAUAAACUUGGGCAAGUUACUUGACCUCCUUGUGCCUCACUUUCCUCAUCUUUAAAAUGAGAUAAUAAUGCUAUCCAUGCAGAGAAUUCUUGUGAGAAUUAAAUGAGUUAAUUCCUAAAAUGAACUUAGUACAGUGGCAAGCAAACAGUGACUACUCAAUAAAUGCCAGCUAUUUUUAUUUUAUGGAUAUAUG